RNAcentral lists this ribosomal RNA (253 nucleotides) under uncultured bacterium. Its description in RNAcentral is "partial 16S ribosomal RNA". It matches the Rfam family "Bacterial small subunit ribosomal RNA", at positions 524 to 776 of the family's 1533-position model. The record is from RNAcentral.
AACGUAGGAGACAAACGUUAUCCGGAGUUACUGGGCGUAAAGGGCGUGUAGGUGGUAGUGUAAGUCUGGCGUGAAAUUUUUCGGCUUAACCGGGAAAGGUCGUCGGAUACUGCACAACUAGAGGACGGUAGAGGCGUGUGGAAUUCCGGGUGUAGUGGUGAAAUGCGUAGAGAUCCGGAGGAACACCAGUGGCGAAGGCGACACGCUGGGCCAACACUGACGCUGAGGAGCGAAAGCCAGGGGAGCAAACGGG